GAUGAACGCUGGCGGCGUGCCUAACACAUGCAAGUCGAACGAAGCACUUUGACUUGAUUCUUCGGAUGAAGGUUAUUGUGACUGAGUGGCGGACGGGUGAGUAACGCGUGGGUAACCUGCCUCAUACAGGGGGAUAACAGUUAGAAAUGACUGCUAAUACCGCAUAAGACCACAGCACCGCAUGGUGCAGGGGUAAAAACUCCGGUGGUAUGAGAUGGACCCGCGUCUGAUUAGGUAGUUGGUGGGGUAACGGCCUACCAAGCCGACGAUCAGUAGCCGACCUGAGAGGGUGACCGGCCACAUUGGGACUGAGACACGGCCCAAACUCCUACGGGAGGCAGCAGUGGGGAAUAUUGCACAAUGGGGGAAACCCUGAUGCAGCGACGCCGCGUGAGCGAUGAAGUAUUUCGGUAUGUAAAGCUCUAUCAGCAGGGAAGAAAAUGACGGUACCUGACUAAGAAGCACCGGCUAAAUACGUGCCAGCCGCCGCCGUAA
This 495-nucleotide ribosomal RNA is filed under the name uncultured bacterium. RNAcentral's name for it is "partial 16S ribosomal RNA". It matches the Rfam family "Bacterial small subunit ribosomal RNA", at positions 28 to 523 of the family's 1533-position model. The record is from RNAcentral.